AUAAUGAUACUCCCGCCUUGAACGCUUCACAGCAUUGGGCGGCUGGACUAAACCAGUGCAGGGGUGAAAUUCCCGUG
RNAcentral lists this non-coding RNA (77 nucleotides) under human gut metagenome. RNAcentral describes it as "pemK RNA". It matches the Rfam family "pemK RNA". The record is from RNAcentral.